RNAcentral lists this microRNA precursor (144 nucleotides) under Otolemur garnettii (small-eared galago). RNAcentral's name for it is "miRNA (ENSOGAG00000021176.1)". Lineage: Eukaryota; Metazoa; Chordata; Mammalia; Primates; Galagidae. The record is from RNAcentral.
AGAGCACCCAGUUAAAUUUUGUAUUUCACAUAAAAAAUGAAAAAUUUCAUAGGAUAAGUAUAUCCGUGUAAUACUUGGGAUAUACUUAUGCUAAAAAAGCAUUCCUGAUUUAUCUGAAAUUCAAAUUUAACUGGAAAUUCUAUA